Molecule: unclassified non-coding RNA, 2279 nt
Filed under: Hevea brasiliensis (rubber tree)
Lineage: Eukaryota; Viridiplantae; Streptophyta; Magnoliopsida; Malpighiales; Euphorbiaceae
Source: RNAcentral
CGAGAAUAAACAGCCAAAAUCACUUCCAAUAGUUCAUGUUACAAAUUUGAUCAUAAAAAUAUAAAUCCUGCAACUAAUGAGCCAACUGCAUUACAUGGAUAAUAUCAAUUUUUGGUUAAAAUUCAUCUUUUUCCAAAAAAAGAAAAAUAAAAUCAUAAUAAACAACAACAACCGUGGCUAAUAACUCAGCAUUUUGUUGUUUGUCAAGCUGAUUUUUAACUCAAAACACAAAAGAAGAAAAAAUUGGACUCAAACCUGUCAACCUAAAUGAUUCUCUAAUUUUUGAGGCAGCUGGUGAAUGUAUUCUUUUAACUUUUUGCUGUAGAUUUAUUAUUGGCCGGAUUGUACACGCUGAACUCCCCGAAGUCCCUUUUGCCACUGUGCAUUACAUCCCAACCAGCAGGUAAGAAGCGAGGAUGAGUUGCUUCAACAAAAACUUGUCUCCAUCGCCGACAAAAUUGAUGAAUGCCAUCUUCUCCAUAUUCUUUCAUUAUGUGUUCCACAACUCGCUUUCCAUGUGGUCCAUGUCCUAACAGAGAUAACUUCGAAUUAUUUUCAGGCAAAGUAUUUUCAUCAUGUCUAGGAUAAUUUAUGCCAACUGCUUCCUUUGGUGGACUUCUUUCACAAUUCUCAUAAGCGUUCACGGCAGAAAUUUCUUUUAUAUCAGAAAUUUCAUUUUCAUCUAAAUUCAUAUCCUUAUAAGCAGUAGCAGAGACUGCUGUGACUUGUAGAUUAGAACAGACACUUGAAUUGUUGUCUGUUACGGUGAAAUAGUCUUUAUCUUCCUUUACAUCAGUUAGAUCUGCUCGUAUAAUUUGGGAACCAUCUGGAGUAUCAACUUCAGAUGUGUUCUCAUUGUAAGAUUUGACCACGGCAACAGCAUCAUGAAUCUUCUUGUUGUUUGGAAGGAUAUUAUAAGAAGAAUAUUUUGAAGAAAAUCCUCUCUUCUCAAAUCGUCUUCUUUCAUGAGGACUCAUGCCAACCAGCAAAGCUCUUUUCAAAUCUUCCUCGGUGAUCUCCCUUCCUCCAUAAUAUUGUGUAACAAUCUGUGUUAGUUCUUCUCGGCGCCUGGGUGGCAUGCUGGAUCCAUGACGCAAAAGAGCCAUUGCAGCAGUGCGCAAUUGUAAAGGAGACACCCCUGCCUCCUCAGCAUUUAUCGUUGAUGAUGGUAGCCCGGGUAAAGCAGGGGCCUCUCUAGAAUCAACCACUUUAUGAACAAAUAAUGGAAUUCCAAAUUCCACAGCUACCUGUUUUUUGUGUUUCUCAGCAGCAGCAUGAGCAACUUCAUGACAGUCCACGCAAAGUAGGACAAUAUCAUGAGAACGAUGGCUUUUCAAAUGCUCAGGGAAGUGCAUUCUGUAGCAUGAUGGGAUUAUUCGAUACCUUAAGUAAUGACUUCCCUCACCACAGCUGACACAUAUAUUUUUCUUACUUUGGAUGUAAAAAUCAUUAUCUUCAUCUUCUGGACGACCCUUUGGUUCAAAAAGAAGCAUUAUGGCAGGGGGAUUUUCAUCAAUAAGUUUUGCCAGCUCUCGUCGGAGGUACCAUUCAAGCUUUCUCUGAUCACAGUAACAAAGCAACCGUCCAUCAUUUGCAUAGAUCCUACAGUUAUGAUACACCGGAGAUUUGCAGGAGAAUUUUUGAACAAAAAGUUCUCGUGAAGCCUUCCGAGCAAAUUGCCUAGAAUUUUUAACCCCGUUCUUUUUGGAAACUGAUCUAUUUGUUGGUCUCAUGUCAUAGUUAGCCAAUAAUGCAUAAUUAUAAACAGACAAUGGACAACUCCCAUUUUUACCCAGGCAUUUUUGAAGAAGCACUGAGAAAAUAUCAUCAAGGUUGCUUUUACUUUCCUGCAUUAAGGAACAAAAAUCGUCCAAAUGACUGCAAACAACAGGGGAUGGAGAUGGCAGAGAUGAAUUCAAAUUCAUAGGAUCCACAUUCAUAUCAGCUUGAGCAAUGGUGUCACAUAUUUCUGUCGGAUCUAUUGGAACCUUGUCUGCAAUAGAAACAAUGGCCUGGUCUGACAAUACAUAUCUUAAGCUCUCAUCAUGCACACGAGCUUAUAAGAAUGUCCACACUAGCAAUUAUGAUCCUCAACAUGAGAUUUGCAUCCUUUGCUUCCUGCAUGGUAGUGCCAUGAGCAAAAGCAUGGUCAAACUCCACAAACAUUCAACUGAAAAUACUUCUAUAUUAUGAUAUAAAAUCAUAAGGGAAUACUCUUUCUGAUCUGACCAUCAGACUCAACCUAAGCCAAGAAGUCAAGAAAGGCUUUGUGCUUGCAG